AGUGAACGCUGGCGGCGUGGAUUAGGCAUGCAAGUCGAGCGACGUGUUUUUAGCUUUUUGUUGAAGCCGCAAGGUGGAUGCAGAAGUUUGAAAAAACGAGCGGCAAACGGGUGAGUAACAGGUGAGUAAUCUUCCUUAAAGCCUGGGAUAGCUUCGCGAAAGCGGAGGUAAACCCAGAUAACACUGCGAGUGCACAUGCAUUUGCAUUUAAAGACAGGACCGCAAGGCCUGUCACUUUUUGAUGAGCUCGCCUCCUAUCAGCUAGUUGGUGGGUAAUGGCCCACCAAGGCUUAUGACGGGUAGCUGGUCUGAGAGGAUGGUCAGCCACACUGGGACUGAGACACUGCCCAGACUCCUACGGGAGGCUGCAGUCGAAGAAUAUUUAGCAAAUGGGACGAAAGCCUGACUAUGCGACGCCGCGUGAGGGAU
Molecule: ribosomal RNA, 429 nt
Filed under: uncultured bacterium
Lineage: Bacteria
Description: bacterial SSU rRNA
Rfam family: Bacterial small subunit ribosomal RNA
Source: RNAcentral